Molecule: ribosomal RNA, 1309 nt
Filed under: Schizorhynchia sp. 1-NJ-2019
Lineage: Eukaryota; Metazoa; Platyhelminthes; Rhabdocoela
Description: partial 28S ribosomal RNA
Rfam family: Eukaryotic large subunit ribosomal RNA
Source: RNAcentral
UAUCAAUAAGCGGAGGAAAAGAAACUAACAAGGAUUCCCUCAGUAGCGGCGAGCGAAACGGGAAAAGCCCAGAACCGAAUCCCAGUCUAUAGCUGGGAAAUGUGGUGUUUGGUUCAUCCUAUUGGAUGCAUCGGAGUCGUUCUAAGUCCACGUGAUUGUGGCUACUAGCCCAGAGAGGGUGUAAGGCCCGUGAGAACGAUACGGUGUGUCUCUUAGAGUGUUCCUAGAGUCGGGUUGUUUGGGAAUGCAGCCCAAAGAGGGUGGUAAGCUCCAUCCAAGGCUAAAUACAACACGAGUCCGAUAGCGAACAAGUACCAUGAGGGAAAGUUGAAAAGGACUUUGAAGAGAGAGUUCAAUAGUGCGUGAAACCGCUUAGAGGUAAACAGGCAGAGCUGAAGAAGGUGGGCGCAUUUAGCUUUCAUCGGGUACAUGUUGGUAUUUAAGGAGAUUCGUAUGAACUCCCAUGCUGGCGUGUUACUUGUGUGUUGGCUUAUUGUGUGUUACCGGCACCACUAUCAGUGUGUAGUUGGGCCAUGUCAUUUGGGGGAAGUUAAGUGACUUCGGUCAUAAUUUAUAGACCCUGAGUACAGCGCUUGGCGAACACUGAGAAUUUGCGAUCCAAGACAAUGUGUGAAACAAGUUGUUGCUAGUUGUUGGCGCUUGGUAUUAGCUCGAUUAAAAGAGAUGGUGCUGUAGUGUCGGCUUCUGGUGGUGGCCUCUGUUUUGUGCAGUAAUGAAUCCGUGGUGAUUAUGUAAGCAAUCUGCCUGACCCGUCUUGAAACACGGACCAAGGAGUUUAGCAUGUGCGCAAGUCAUGAGGUCGUACGAAACCUAAAGGCGCAGUGAAAGUAAAGGCUAUCAUUUCCGAUGGCUAAGGUAGGAUCUCGUUUCUUAUGUACAUUGCAGUACAAAGAAUGAGCGCACUACCGGCUCGUCCAACUCUUUAUUAAGAAGGGCGACGCAAGAGCGUACAUGCUGAGACCCGAAAGAUGGUGAACUAUGCUUGCGUAGGUUGAAGCCAGAGGAAACUCUGGUGGAGGACCGUAGCGAUUCUGACGUGCAAAUCGAUCGUCAAACGUGAGUAUAGGGGCGAAAGACUAAUCGAACCAUCUAGUAGCUGGUUCCCUCCGAAGUUUCCCUCAGGAUAGCUGGCACUCGAGAAACAAACAGUUUUAUCCGGUAAAGCGAAUGAUUAGAAGUAUUGGGGAAUAACAUUCCUCAACUUAUUAUCAAACUUUAAAUGGGUGAGAAGCUUGACUCGUUUAAUUAGAGUUUGGCAUGGAAUGUGAGUGCUCAGUGGGCCAUUUUU